GACGAACGCUGGCGGCGUGCUUAAUACAUGCAAGUCGAACGGACAGGCCCUGCUUUUGCGGGGUGCACGUGUGGCGAACGGGUGAGUAACACGUGAGUAACCUGCCCUUGACUUUGGGAUAACUCCAGGAAACUGGGGCUAUUACCGCAGAGGAGCUCUUGCUGCAUGUGGGUGGUUGGUAAGUUUCGGCGGUUGGGGAUCGACUCGCGGGUUAUCAGCUUGAUGGUGUGGUAGUGGCUUACCAAGGCUUUGACGGGUAGCCGGCCUGAGAGGGUGACCGGCCACAUUGGGACUGAGAGACGGACCAGAAUCCUACGGGAGGCAGCAGUGGGGAGUAUUGCACAAUGGGCGGAAGCCUGAUGCAGAAACGCCGCGAGCGGGAUGACGGCCUUCGGGUUGUAAACCGCUGUCGCAUGUGACGAAGCGUGAGUGACGGUAAUGGGUAAAGAAGCAACGGCUAACUACGUG
RNAcentral lists this ribosomal RNA (468 nucleotides) under uncultured bacterium. Its description in RNAcentral is "partial 16S ribosomal RNA". It matches the Rfam family "Bacterial small subunit ribosomal RNA", at positions 28 to 507 of the family's 1533-position model. The record is from RNAcentral.